RNAcentral lists this long non-coding RNA (19402 nucleotides) under Manihot esculenta (cassava). RNAcentral describes it as "long non-coding RNA (MESC_LNC012546)". Lineage: Eukaryota; Viridiplantae; Streptophyta; Magnoliopsida; Malpighiales; Euphorbiaceae. The record is from RNAcentral.
UCCCUAUUAGCUCUGAAUCGGUAGGCAAUGGACCGGGAGAACCAGACUUGGGAGUACCCGCCAUCGCUAGGAUCGGAAGACAGAGAAUGAGGAGGCAGUCCAUGCAUUCGUACCGGGCCCGCUAGUUCUAUUCUUCCUUCUCCCCCAAGGCAGUAAACCAUCUUCUGAAGUCACCGUCCACUCCAUCUUCUAAUGCUUGGGAAACCCUAAGCAACCAACCAACCCAACUGACCGAGAAAGAAGUGGAACUUCUUUCAGCUGAGGAAUAGCGAGAUGCAAGCUAAGGAAUAGCGCUUGUCUUGAUUCAGUUAAGAUAGUGCAACGAAGCAGAUCUUUCAUUUAGUUGAUAGUCACCUUUUCUUUCUCUUCAGGUCCCCUAAAGAAAGGUAUCAUAAGAGUGAAUAAGGGAUUCAUUCAAUGUAUUGAUGGAUAUGUACCUUAUCUCUCUCUUUCAUCUCCAUACCAACUUUCCCUACCUCACCGCCGGCGGGUGCACAAGAACCGAAUUCCUCAGAUUUUGGUUGAAAUAACCAGGCUGCAACAAACAAAGUCAGUUUUAAGGAAAAUGUAGCCCCCGGUUAGAGCGCUUUACCUAUAAUUUCUUAGAAGAGGAAGAUCUAGCUCAGCUGGUGGUAUAGGAUAGGAUGAGCUAACUGAAGCAGUGAUGAGCUAGGAGAAAGGCUUUAUCCACCCGGUUUAGAGGAAAGUAGAAAGAUAGGUUUAAGAUUGGCUCUCUAUAGUUAUAUUUAGGAAAGCUCAAUAUCUCCAUGAACCCUUGCUGCAAAAGUCAUGCUUUUCAAUCAUAGAAGUGAAAGUUCCGAUUCCAUCCAGUGAACCGAUUCAAUCCAUUCCAAAAGCAGAAGGGAGUGUUCUAGUGGGGAGGAGAAUCUCAUUUUGUAUAGGCUAAGGUCUACACCAGUGAUCUUAAGCGGACCUGACCCCUAACUAAAAGGAAUUAGUAAAGGAAAGAUGAAGUAGUGUGGGACGAAUGAGAUCUUUGUAUUGAUUGGGGCAGGCAAGACCUGCUGUCCAAUGCUUUCGCUUCAGCUAAAGAAGGAAGAGUCAGUUAUGUGCCCUUUCGCCCGGUAAGAUGAGUUUACCGCUCCGAAGGUGAGUUUUUAUUCUAUAAUACCACACGGUACUCUCUCACUGCUGAAUGCCCUGUCUGGUACGGCCUAUUCCCUUAUGGUAUGGAUAGGGAAAGAGCUGAGUUGAGUUCGUGAUUCACGGGUGAGUAGCGCUCACGGAGCUAAGUUUCUGCUUGGCCGGGAUUGUAAAUGAGCCUGAUCAUUGGGUGGGGAACGUAUAUAGAAUCGAGCUUCUUUUAAUAUAUAUAUAUAAGACGUUAUUCCAGAUUCAAUUGAAAGUGCCAGUGUCAAGUUAUGGUUAUUCCGAAGUACUCCUCAUGGCACUAUCCUCAGAAAGGCUUUGUCCAAUAGCGACAUCCGCUCCCGGAAUAACAUUUCAAUUUUACACAACUAUAUUCUUCUAUUUAGGGUCAUGCACCUGCUACGCUUGUCCUUACUCUUUUUUAUGACGAGAUACAUAAUAAUAUAAGGGGAAUUUCUGCUUCUACCUAGAUGUUACUAACGUAGCGAAUUACAGAAAUAUGUAAUUUCAUUAUUCUAUUAGAAACCUCAUUCAUCUCCUUUCGAUUCUAACUUAGUGUAAGCCCAUCAAUACGGCCUCUUUAGACUCCCUGUCCGACUUGACACACACCCCAAUCAAGAUCUUGGUGGUAAACUAAACCUACCACUUUAAGCGCCCUUUCCGUUAAUGACAUGACUUCUGUCUAUAGCGAACACCCGCGAAUGCAUAGACUUCGUUCCCCAUACCAGGAGAUAGCCUUAUCUGCUUUGCCAAAGCUAAAACUGAUAGCUAUUUCGAAUCCUGGCAAACUCUUUAGUAGCUUAUCCAUCUCUUUCUCUUUGUAAGUUAGUAGCUUGCUUAUUUGAAGGCACUGACUUAGCGGACGCGUAGUUCAAUCCUUCUUUCUCUUGUUCGUGAUGAUGUCAUUCUCGCGGCUUGGAAGAGUCCCGCCUAUUUCCUAUGGGAUUCUAUAGUUUGUUGUUUCGGGUGUGGGAUGAUCCCUUCUAGCAUCCCGUAACCCUGCCUUUGAGCAAUUCUUGUCUUACUUAGGCUUCCUUCAGAAAAGAGAAAAGCGCCAACGGCAAGAGCUAAUUCAGCUAAAUCAAUGGCAUCUUCCUAAAAGAAAGAAUUGACUUACCUUGCUGCUUUGAUUAGGACUUUGCCCCGGGGGGAGUUCUUUUGAAAUCAAUUUUUCGAUGGGAACCUUUAAUCUUAAUAGAGUGGAAAAAAACCAAGCAAGAUUCAUCGCCCGAAAGCACGGGAAUCAACUUGACUUCUCAGAUGCGGAUUGAUUUCCUGUUGAUGGCGGAGUGAUCGUAUCUGCAGUUCUUGUUGACGACUUCGGUCCUAUAGAAGAAGCUGGUAUUUGACCGCUUUCCUUGGCUAAAGUAAAGGGGAUCGAUCCGGGGGAGGGGGAAUUGAAUCAUCAACUGUGGCACUGACUUGAGGAAUAAAGCAGUGAAUGCUGCCGAUACCGGAGCAGCUAAAACAAUUGUAAAAGUAAGAUCAGAAUGCCGACGUCCCCAUGUGUGGCACUUUCGGAUUGCCGAUAUUCAAGCAUCUAAUAGAAAUGUACGAGGAGGGAGUAAGUUUAAAAUGCCGAGAAUCCCCUGCUGCUGCUAUUGAAUGCGCAGCUAUUGGCUCAGCUCUUAGGACAAAGACGGUGGAAGACUAGGCUGCAUCGAAUGCCAUGGUUCUUGUUCUCGAAUCAGCAGCUAUUGAAAUUGAAGACGGUGUUCGGGAUUUUCCUGUUAGCCCUGAGAUAAGCAUUUCUUUAGCAAUAGUAAUUGCCUGCUUCGAGUCUUGUUUCCCACAGAUCUGCUAUAUGGAUGCCCAAAGGAUUCGGCAGGCGAGACAGAUAUUUUAUUAAGUUAAGAAAGCGAGGAUAUGAUUAAGGCCUUUGAAACUAGUCUUGAUGCCUCAAAUCCGCAGAAUCUAGCUCUUUUCACUCAAUCUGAGGGGCAGGAAGGAUUCAUAGUAGUAGAAUCGGACAAGGAAGUGACACAUUAAUGACUAUGGAUAGUUUAGAGCGAGCAAGAUGGAAGGGUGUAAGAAUCCGCUUCUUGGGAAAGUGAAUCCGAAGGGGUUGUGCAAAGGAUUCGGCAGGCGAGACCUUCCUGGCCUAAUUUCAUUCUCUUAGCAUGGAUCACCUACCAAGCGCAGGGCAGGGGCAUCUAGACUAGCCAGGGAAAUCCCAUCAUGGGGGAAAGCGCAAUCACAAGAACUGUGCUUAAAUCCCUACUUCCACCGAAUCUCGUGCAGCAGGAACCAUCCGACUUGUUUUUCCUCAAACUUUUGAAAUGAAAUUGACGGCUAGGAAGGAAAAUAGGAUGUAGGAAAAAAAUCCCGAAUUUCCGCAUCUACCGUCAGAGCCUACUCUCAGGAGGGCAAGUCAGGCAUGGAAUCACGCUAAGGUAAGGUUUCUAAUCCAUCUAGAAUAGGAUCUACAAAAGAUAUUCGAUUUCCCACUUAUUCAGUCAGCCUUGCUUGAAGAGCCUUCUCUCUCCGGGGUAGAGGAAUAAUAGCUAAUCAGGUAGACCGGUUGCAAUCAGUCUUUGCAAGUCCAAGAUCAGCUGUGUAAGAAAAGUAGUGUGCUCACGAGCCGGGAUCAGGAAGUUCUCCUACAGUGAAGAAAGAAAGAAGUGCUGGUUCGAGUCAAGCUUGUGAAAAGGUGACUGGGUCAUCUACAAGUGUACCGUCCUCAUGCAGAUACACAACGUAAUCAUAAGAAAGGGCAGGUCUCCUCUCUCUUUUUGAUCUCCUCAAUGCCACUUGACCUCCCACAGGUGGUGCCUGAUGUGGGGUAUCAACGGCUGGAAAAGGUUCCUGCUUUGGUUUAUCCCUGUCCCUGUACCACAGGCUGAGUUUCCACAGCGCUUGGCUGUUCCACUGGAUAUGGAAAGGUCAGUUCGCUAGGAACAGUCGGAGGAGGUUCCUCGGGUUCUGGUAACUCCUCAAAGAGAAUGUAUCGAGGUUCUAACACCCCACUUACUUUUGUCCUAAAAGAAUCUUGCUAACUUGGUCUCAGCAAUCCUGAUCGGGAGCGAUGGGCAAUCAAACUUAUAUCCCUUAUACCUCUCGAAGUAUCCGAUGAAGUAUCCACUAAGGGUCCAACUUCUUCUCUUGUGGGUUAUAAACCCACCCUGGCCUCUGCCUGACAACCCCAAGUAUGGAAAUGUGCUAAACUGGCUUUCCUUUCUCAUUACCUUGGACUAUCGGUUGAGACUCUCCGACAUCCGUAAACUGUUGGUCUAUUCCUUAGUUCCAUUUCCUUCUAACCCUGUCGCUCCACUCGGUACCCUAUCGGAAAACUCUAACUUGGCAAUUGAACGACUUCCUGCCUUUCCCCGGGGUCGACUAACAAAGGUACCGUCUUUAUUCCCUUGAUCUUCGUAAACAACACUCUAACCCGUAUUCGAUUCGUAAGGCUACGCCCCUUGCUGUCCCCAUUGAAGUCGUCUUGAAGAGACUCUCCUGUAAGUCUUUACUUGCUAAACGACUUGCCUUAUCAGACUCAGAUGCGGGUUACCUUUCUAUGGGUAGACUUAACACCAGCCCAAUCUCGACAAAAUCAGUCUUCCUCUAUCACAUCAGUCUCACCAACCGCGGAUGUGGGACUUGCAGCGGCAAGGAGAACUCUAACAGCGGAUAAGAUCCAAGCUCCUUCUCCAACAGCGGCAAGAGAUCGUCCGUAUGCAUCGACAUCGUCCGCGAUUCGAUAGCAUAGGGAAGCAUGGAAUCGGACGCUAGCUUCUCUCUUUUCUUAAAUGCGCGGUGCUUAACACAUGCGGAUCGGACCCCUUCCCUUAUGGGAUUGUCGCCUCAGUUCCUCCUUUCCCUUCUCGUCGACGGGGGUGAGUGGGCCUAGAGCGGGAACAGGGAAGAAGUGACGGGGGUCUUUCGAGAUUGAAUGUGACUGAGAAUUGUGUUGUGUAUAUAGAGUUCUGUCUUUCGAAGCGAGCCAUUGGCAAGGAAUUGAUGCACAGAAUAACCUAAAAUAUCACAUGAAUGCACUCCCCGAAGACUCUCGAGUAGCUAAGGAAGGGCAAAAAGGAUUCAGGCAACCAAUUCCAUAAGUCAAGAAAGAAGGCGAAUUGACCAAGCCUAGUCUAAGAGCAGGAUGAAGUAGCAAAGGGGGAACUUCUUUCCCUGGAAGGGAAUGGGGAAUGUAUUAUGUCGACUAGAACUAGAAUAGAGGAACUCCUCUAAUAUAGAAUAGAUACAGCGAUGGAGGCGACUGCAGCGAAUAGGCCAACAGCUGAGAUGGGGCUAGGCGAUGUCUGUUUAAAGAGAAUGUCCCCCGCUGCUCUCUGUUCUUCUUACUAGCAUCUCUAGCUGUUCCGCUUUCCUUUGCUGAAGCAUUGAGGAGUGAUCGAUCCGAGGGAAGAGACUGCUGGUAGCUAACCGGUUGUGCUGGAAUUGUUGGUUCGGCUUGGUUGGCUGAUGAGGAAAGAGAGCUGCUGUGGUUGUUCCUCUCUUCCCUCUCAUGAAGCUGAAGCUACUCUCCAAAGAAACUGAGUUCUGCUACAGACUUCGGUAUCGGAAAGACCAUAAACUGAAAGCACACAUUACUCCUGCACUCCUGCUUUUCCAAUUGAAGGAAUGAGCCAAUCCCAAUCAUUGUCGCUACAAUCCUUUCAGCUUAAAGAAAAGAUUAUAGCUGUUCUGCGUCCUGCUUUAAGAGAAUACCCCUCUUUUCUGAUAGCUUCUGCUUCCUUGCUUUGGUUUCGGGAACUGGCCUGGCUUGGCUAGCUACAGGCCUAUUGAUUGUUGGCUUUCUUAGGAGUGAAUUCUUUCUGUUCUAUUGACAUGAUAGGAUGAUCCCUGGCCGUUGCCUGUGGGGUUAGAUCUCGUCAAACCUAGCAGCAUGGGAACAGGUCUCCUAAAUCCUCCGUCUCGUGGGACGGGCGCCCUUCAUCUUAAAAGAUACCAUGGGAUAUAAGCGAAGUCACUCGCACUUAUUGAAUAUCACGUCAAAAGAAUAACGUAUAAUAUAAGUGAUUGCUGUGUGGUGUUAGAUCAGAAAGGUGACCACAUCUAGUUCCGAGGUUGCCCUAACCUAACUGUGCUUUCCUAUAUUAUCUUCAUCAGGAAGAAGUAAAUUAAAUUGUAUUUCUUCCUGAAGCACCUACUGAUCAAUAAUAACUGAAUCUGAAUAAGUGAAGGGAUUCACUUUUGAAAAAGUAAGAUCGGAAUCGGAUUGAAGCCUACCGGUGGCUUACUAAUAGAAUAGAGAUCUUCAUUUACCGAAUAAAAAAAGGGUGAAAGACAGAAAAGUCUUGAAAAGAAGAACCACUUCAUUUACGAAAUCUCAUCUAAGAUAUAGAGAAAAAUCUUUCUACUCUUUCUCUUUUCUCGUUUACAUAAUAGGGCCUUACCUUCUUCAUUCAUGACCGAGUAAGAUGCUGGAAAUUGAGCCUUUUUCCUUUUCAUUACAUCCAACCUUUGCUACUUCUGCUACCGUAGCCCUUGCUGAUUUACUUGAUUGGCCCCUUCCACUUCCCCCAUUUUCAACUCGCUUGCCCCGGCUCAAAGAACUCUCUUGAGGAAGUGACUUCGCUCACUGAAGACCUAGCAGCCAUUCUGGAUGAAAGGACACAAGCCUGCUAUUCACUCGAAAUAAAGUUUCAAGUCGGAUCUUGCCGGUUACACCCUUUCUUGCCAUUUACCAUUCUCCGGGUAUUGAGAAUUUAAGGCCGGGGGCUGGGUAUGAUUAAGAUGUUGCUUCUUUAUCUUUAUUAAGAAAGAGAUUUCCCGGUGUGAAUUUCUCCCCUACUGAUCAGACUCCAAGAGCUACAACUGUGCUUAGGCCUACAACGUUUAGCCGUAAACCAGAGCUAAUGAUUGGAGAUCUUCUACCUAGAUAGUAAACAGCUUCCCCAGACCAAGAGCUAGCCACAAGAGCUUUACCAGACUAAUUCCGUCUACUGAGCCCUAGAUAUUAUAGAGACUCAACUCUACUUAAAGAACGUAUCGCCAUGAGCCUGCCCCUACGCAAGAAUUGAAUCAGUAACUGCCUUCGCUACCUGGAGAGCUAACUGGCAAGAAGCAAAAAGAUUCCCAGCUAAUCAGUGAGUAGUGGUCAAAGAGAGCGCGGAGUGGGCAAUAGGAAAAGUUCCAAAGAAUCAUUCUCCUAGUCAAUUCGUUAGCUAAUUCAUCCUAGCCUUGAGCUUGCUUCUAUUAUGAUAGAGAGAGUGACUUUGAAAGAGCUGCUUCUAUAAAUGAUUCAACAAGUGCUACUUGAAAUCAAACAACCUCCCUUUCGUGGAUGAAAUGGAGGGAAAUUCCGUAGAAAAGAGUAAUUGUUUGCAGAGAUAGCUGGCUUAGAUGUAACCUAAUUGGUGAAUCCUUGAGAUACCUGCGCAGAUGUUUGAAGUCAGAAGAGAAGGCAGAAGGAACGGAGAGAGAUGCUUUUCAUAGUUAAAAUAAUGUGCCUUUGUUCUUGGGAUUCGAAAGGACUUGCCAACUGAUCCUAGUAGUCACUUCCUCAACUGCCUUAGUUGAUGUACACUGUCAAAGUAGUUUGUUUGUGCUUGCUUUAGGAAGUAAAUCCACUUUUUCACCCACAGGUACCUCAAGAGAAGUUGCUUUAAAAGAAGUGUAAGCUUACACUUCUUUUAGGUCUAGGAUCAGGAGUUAAACUGAUAAAGAGGAUGCCCACUAGUUCGUUAGUCACCAGCCAUUAAAUAAAGAGGUUGAGCUGUUUCGUACCGGUCUUUCCUGGAUGCUCUUGUUUCCACUGCUGCAAGGAAAGAAAUUUAUUGUUGGGAGCUAAGGAAAAGAUGCUCAUGUGUCUAUUGGUGCUGGAGAGGAACUAAAAGAUAUCCUUCAACGAGAUCCCUCAGUUCCGGUGAUAAAGAAGACAAAAGAGUAACCCUUUCCUUUGGAGAGUUCAGAUAAGCAACUUUACCGGAUAACCUGACUAUAAGUAUAAGUGGAAGAAGUAGAAGCAAGUUACUCCCACAGGUGAUUGAUGAGAACCCAGCCCAGAGCUUGAGGAGAACUUCCUUCCUUGUGGUGUGAAGGAAGAAGGCAACUUGUUGCUGGUGCGACGUAAGCUCAUGCACUGUAGCUAAGGAUGGUUAAGAAGAAGUUGCUAAGAACCACUCAAAAACAGAAAAAGGAAAGGAAAUAACACCAAUUACAGAUUGCAGAUAAAGCAAAAAAGUCAGCACCGACAAAGCAAAGAAGGCAAGCUAGCAGUUCAGCUAUUCCUCACAGCAGGAACUCUUUGAAUGUAGGGGAAUAAAAUAAAUAGUGUAGGUAGUAAGAUACCACUAGGGUCUAUCUCCAAUCCCUAUCGUGAAAUAGCUUAGAUAAAGCUCAUGGGAAAACCACACUGCGACUCCUAAACAGUCAAGAGGAAGGCUUGGACCAGCUCCCGAACUUGUAGGCGAGAAGCUCUUUGUUCGAGUUGACUGUGUGAUUGAUUCGGGUUUUGUGGUUUUAUGGCAACCGGAAACCUUUUCCUGAAUUGAGAAUGAGUAGAAGCGCCUUUUACAGGGGUUUAUGGGAUAGAUGCGGGAAAGAAAGAACUCCCCGCAAGGUUUCACCCUCUGAUUACACUUUUUUAGGGAUGGGAUCUUCUGCCUAGAUUAGAUCUCUCACGGGAUUCAUCUGGCAUUUCUGGAUGGACUGGCAUUGAGCAUGUCAUUCCGGACUUCGCUAUUAUCACAGUCAGAUCGGACAUUGAAAUCUGAAGUCAACUAUCAAGACAGGACUAUCUUAUCUAUUUGAUUUGCUGACAGUUGCAAUAUUGACUUGUUUGUCUUAUCUUCUUUCUGAACUGCCUAUCUUACCUUCCUUGUCUUAGCUGUGCAGAUAUUCUUUCUGCUUUCAGUCACAUUCCCUUUCUUCCGGGAAGGAAGCUCUUGUUUAGCUCGCUUAUCUUCUGUCUCAAAGCCAAACUUUACUUGCAUGUGUUCCGCAUAUGACUAUUUCGAGUGAUUGCUGCUAUCUGGCUUGAGUUAGACAAGCAGAGAAGGAUCUUAUGCCACCGGUGACCGGCCUGUCUAUCUAGUAUCUUUUACUAGGACUAGUAGAGUAGAGGCACUACUGGGCGGGGCUUCCUCGAUCACAGCUUCUCGCUUAGCUAACUGCCAGACAAGGAUGGAAAUAAACUCCUUAUAUAGAAUGCGGAUCGACACAUUCAAUGAAGCAGCCAGUCCGGCAGACAAGCUACUUUCUGAUUCUAGGACUGGCGGAUCCUCUAUCUAUUAGCAUACCCGUACCGGCAGUUAGACUAUCACUCUCUCCCCAAUCAAUCGCAGUAACCGGCUGUAAGACAGCUGACUGUCUACCUGAUUCAGUCUACUGGCAGUGAGUACCAGACUAUCUCAUAGUCUGGCCUGUGCAUCCAAUCAGAUACCAGGCAGGAAGCUUCGAUCACUAUUAGCAUCCACAAAGCCAAUCUCGACUUAAUUAAGAUUAAGUGUAAAAGCAAGGCAAUUGACUCGAUCAAGAAGUUCCAUACCUUCUCGACGCAACUCUAAAAAUUCCUUCUUUGCCCCUCGUCUCUUCCAUACCUUCUUGGGUCAGCAGUUGAUCUCGUUGCCUCCGCCCUUUUGGUGCUAUCAUAUUAUAUAUAAUAUAAGUGAUCUGUUCAUCUAACUAGAAAUAAGAGAAGAAAAGAGAGUUGCCUAGUUCUGAUGAACGCUAUGCUUAAAGGCUACUCGAGUUCAAAGGUUUAGUUGCGUAUCACAGGCCGAAACAGGUGAAAUCAAAGGGCAUUACUUGAAUGCUACUGCGGUGCGGGUACAUGCGAAGAAAUGAUCAAAAGGGCUGUAUUUGCCAGAGAAUUGGGAGUUCCUAUCAUUAUCAUAAUGCAUGACUACUUAACAGGGGGAUUCACUGCAAAGACUAGCUUGGCUCAUUAUUGCCGAGAUAAUGGUCUACUUCUUCACAUCCAUCGUGCAAUGCAUGCAGUUAUCGAUAGACAGAAGAAUCAUGGUAUACACUUUCGUGUACUAGCAAAAGCCUUACGUAUGUCUGGUGGAGAUCCUAUUCACUCUGGUACCGUAGUAGGUAAACUUGAAGGGGAAAUAGACAGAACUUUUGGCUUUGUUGAUUUACUACGUGACGAUUUUCUUGAAAAAAGAUCGAAGCCGCGGUCUUUAUUUCACUCAGGAUUGGGUCUCUCUACCGGGUUUCUGCCCCUUGCUUCGGGGGGUAUUCACCUUUGGCCUAUGCCUGCUCUUACCGAGAUCUUUGGAGAUGAUUCCGUACUACAAUUCGGUGGAGGAACUUUAGGGCACCCUUGGGGAAAUGCACCCGGUGCCGUAGCUAAUCGAGUAGCUCUAGAAGCAUGUGUACAGGCUCGUAAUGAGGGACGUGAUCUUGAGAUCGGUUCUAUUAAGGAUUCGUAACCCUCUCUUUUAGAUGAAUGGCUAAGGGGCGUAGCGCUUACUUAUGCUUGCACUCAGAAAUGCAUUGAAUUUCAACUUUCCUUCCUACAUCAAUAGCAAAUCCAGUAGCAUAGGCAGUUGAUCCAUCCAUUGAAGAAAAUCCUACGUAAUGCCGAUGCAUGAACCCCUCUUGGCCCCCCAAAGGUCCGAAAUAGCCGUACGCACUCCCCCAUAUCCCACUCUGGAGGUAGGGCACGAUAACGAUAAUCCUAUCUUUUUUCUUGAGUGGAAGUAGGAAUGGAGUGGCUCAUGCCAAUGCCAGACCGGAGAAAUCAUACUUAUCGGCUAGCUCAAUCGCAAAUCGGGCAUCCCCAUGAUAGAUUUAGCCAGCUUCUUAGCUCAGCCUCAUGCAGACCCUCGGGACUCGCCAUUCUCACUUAUAUUAGAAUUAGAUAGGAUUCCAUUUCGUCUCCACAAGUUAGCCUGUCUGCCUGCAAGGCCCAAUCGAAGCAGAUUGUCCCCGUGGGUUCCGGAUAGCGCCCCUUCACUCACUUGUGGUUUCGCUACUCUAGGACAUCAAGACCAACUCAGGCUCCAGCCCUAACUUCAGCUUUAGAUUCAACUUCGACUUAGUCCUCAGCUCGUGAAUCUGGCUAUUUCAAGAUAUCCGGAUUCCUUUCUGAUGCGCCUUAUCUAUCCAAAAGGAGAGCCGUGUAAAUGCGGUUUUCCUCUCUUGCAUAGAGCCAACCUUACUCUAUGUGCUGUGAGGAGUUUGCUCCAUCUCCGAUACUGAUCGUCUCGCUCGCUUGAUUGGCGCUUUCACUAUCGAUUAAGGAAGCUACGGCCUCUGCAGCACCACUGGCAUGUAACCUAGAAAGGAUGUUCCCGACCCCGCAUGUCGAUACUUACUCCUAGUUUUAUGGAUGCGACAAAAAUAAUAGAAGCCAGGACCUUGUUCAUGGCGAGUUGGGCCUUUGGCGAUCGCUAGCUUUCCGCUAAGACUAGGGAAGUGGACCCUCCAACAUAGAUUGCAGGGAAGGACCCCUCCAGUGGCAUACUUUAUGGAUAAAGGCUCUCCAGCGGCAGACACCGUCGGAAAGGACUCUUCAACGGAAACAAACGGUCCCCUUUCAACAUGAAUUGACUUUGAACUCUCAUUUCCUACUGUCGGUCAACAAAUUCAUGUCACUUGGUCCAUUUCAAUUAUAAGGAGCCAAACAAUCCCCUCUUUAUUUGAGCAUCGAGCUGGCGGAAAGCCUUCUUCAACAGUAGGAGCGGUGAAAGCCUUAAGCUUCCGAGCUAGGGAAAAGCCCAAUCUUAUGGAGUAAAGGUAAAGAGCUACUAUUAGAGAAGCCAACUUUGCCUUUAUUAAAAAACAAAUGUCCGAGAGAAAGCUCUUUCAGUCAACUCUUUUUUUCCUAUAUCUAAAUCGAUUAUUUAGGUGUGGCAAGAAGAACCAUAAAAGGGAAUUCCUUUACUGGAUCGGAGUGCCGAUUUGGCAACUUUACAAAUCGAACUUUAAUGACCGCGAUCCAGCGCAGCAUCGCUUACCACAUCUCGUGGGAUAUCCAUUCGAAUGUCUUUUUUAUUAGCAACCCUCGAUACAAAUUUUAUGCGUAGGAAGAAAGAUCUUCUUAUACAAACAAGAGCAGAGUCUAUCGAAAGAAGAAAACUUUAUCUGCUUAUUCGGGACCAUAUUAGAAUGAAUAAAGCCUUAGAGAGGUUAGUCAGUUUACUACAAGUAAGGAAGGGGGGUUCUCUUUCAACUAGAGGUUCGUUAGAUGACUGAAAGGAAAGGAACUAGUCCCCUACUUUGGCACAACCUCCUCAGUAUUGCAUAUUUCCACCGUGCUCGCAUAAACGUAUUCUUCUUCCUUAAACUAAGAAAGAUCUGGGUAAGCAUUCCGCUCAUGCAAACUGUGAGUAGCGAUAAGGCAAGGCUAUUGUUGAUGCAUCGAAUCGAUGAGCCCUUCCUCUUUAUCUUUCACCUUUUUCGUACACCGCUCGACGCCAUCCCCCUCGUCGGCGGCGCUAACAUUCGCAUCCGAGAGUUCGCUUGAGAGAGCACUCAUUUUUCUUCUACUUUUAUUUGAUUUUAAUGAACUUAGGACUGUUAGUGACUACUAUCAAGGUCCUUGGGCCAUGAUAGGUGACUUUAAUGAAAUGGUUAACCCUGAUGAAAAGUUUGGAGGAGCUUCCUUUAAUUACAGUAGAGCUAGAGUUGAUUGCAUGAACACCUGUGGUAUGAUUGACUUGGGUUAUACGGGGCCUAAAUUCACUUGGGUGGGAAAAAAGGAUAAUAAAAUCAUUAGAGAAAGACAAGGCUCUGUCAAAAGACCUCUAUUCACUACUUGCUUGACUGAAAUCAUAGGGCGUAGCGAGCGCCUUAGGGAUAAGUCCUAAAGCAGAAGAGGAAGACAUUCAUUAGCUACUGACUUUUCUUACUAAACCGAAUCUUACUUACCUACUUGAUUCCUAUCUGACUUGCCUGACUUUACACUUUUUUACUUGAAUCACUUACUCUAGCACUGAGUCUGACUCUUAUUCUGACUCGUACAAAAGCCAGCUCGUGAGUCAUCUAUCAAGUCUUAGCUUUUCAACGGAUUCGAAAGACCUUCGACUCGUGCUCCCAAUCGUGGAAGCACGAGCCUACUUCCACUUAUAUUUCCUUUAGAAAGGAGAGGAUAUUUAUAACCAACCGGACAUCGCUUUACAACUCAACAACUACAGCUCAACUAUGAACUCAGAACUAUGAGCUACAAACUAGCCUACCUAUCUUGUCUUGACGAACUGCUCUCUUGCUUCUUUCUUGUGUCACUCCUAUGAAUCCUAAACCUGGGAGAGGUUUGAAGACGCUCGACCGUAAGGGAGAGGCAAAGAACGUCCCUACGUACCUACCGCUGGUACUACGGUCCUUUUUAUUAGCGAGCUUCCUGUCCUCUGAUUGAAGGACUUAACCCUUGUUUUGUCUCCCCGAAUAGUGGAUACUCCCAUUCAAAAAGGAUUUUUUGGCUUGGAAAGGCUUUCAAACUCUUUCUUCUUUUCAUCCGAGUCAGCUGACAAUAUCCCCCUUAUCCUGGACCGGAAAAGAACCAACUAGCCUCGGGUUCAGAAGUUCGAGCAAGUGUUGCCGAAAGGUUUCGUGAUUCAUAAGAAAAGUGGAAUCGAGUCGUCCAGCGAAGACUGGUUCGGAGUAGAAAGUGUAGGUUGCCAAUCGUCUCUCUCGGUCUUCAGCUAGCAGAGCAGUUAACGCUCACAAAGGCUUUGUCUUCCUUUCUGUCUAGGUGGAAAGAAGAAAGUUGCUUAUCAAAUCCAUUUCUUCCCGUUCAGCAUUUUGGAUAGUUGGCUUGAUGAGAUCGGCCAACUCCUCUUCUUCAAAGAUUCUCUCAUCUCCCUCUUCAAUAGUUUCAAUUGGAUAACGCGGGGAUCUUUUUCAUUACUAAAAUCGAGUGGCUGAUCAACGAGAGCCUCGUCAUCGGGGUCGCCCUCUAGAAUCGGCUGAUUCUGAUCUGGUAAGGUCGGAGGUCCCUCCCGUAUGAGCAUAUCGGGACGAUGGUUCCCCCGGGAAUCUCCCAUCAGGUGGAAAAUUGAGGUCGAUGACUCCGGAGCUAGAUGGAAUAGAACCGGCCCCCCUGCUUUAUGGGGUUGCAUCAUAUACUCUAGUGGCAUCGUGGCUUCGGCAACAUAGCUUACUGACCCAACAGCGUGGGUAGCAGCUCUUUUCAUUUGGAUAUUGAUAGGAGAGAGAUCAAUGCCCUUAACAAACACGGAAUUUCUUAGCGAAUUCCAAGGCGCCGAAGUCAAAUCACUUUGUCUUGCGGGAGGCUGAUCAGAGAGUUCGUUCCUCUAAGCCCGGGUGGAGCGACGAAGAGAGGAAGCCUCAGAGGUAGAAGCUGGAGGCUCAGAAGAAUCAAGAGAAGAUGUAGAGGACUCAGGAGGAUCAGUGGCAGUACCUGCAGGCGGAGCAGAUUCUGGAGGAGAGGCCGUGAAGACAUCAGAAGAGGAUGUAUUGAGCUCAUCGGAGGAACCUGCAGCAGAAUCACUAGGAAACAACUCCAUCACUUUUCAGGGGGGAUUUGGCCUACCAACUGAAGGCUCGGGUGGUGGAAAGGCAACCUCUAAGGGCGAUUGGAUUAAAGUAAAGAAAAAGGGGAAAGAUGUUCUAGAUAACAGAGUUUCCAAUCCGCCUGUCUCUUCACAAGAGCCAUCGAGGGUUUUGAAGUUAAGCUGUCCGCUUUGAGAAUGGCUCUCCUGACAGGAUUUCGGAUCCUCCUUGUCGUCUAGAGGAUCCUGUUGGCAAUUCCCCUCAAUCCUCUAGCCUUCAACAGUCAGGGGGCGCAACUCUUGCGCUGAGUUAGUCCUUAUUCUAAGUGAUAGCUUUGAUGGACCCACUUCAGUGGCAUAAGUCCAACCCCAAAGGGUUGUCAGCCACCAUCUUUUUUCGAUUUGGAUGUGUUAAGCAUAUUAUUUGCGUUCCCACGAUCAAACUCUUCAUUUGAAUAUGAUUUUUUAGUCAUAUUUGAGUAUUGAUUCGAGUUGAAGCAGGUAUAGAAUAGGCUUCGUCAACGGGGGCUAAUGCACUAUCUCCAGGCUAUCGAAGAUGAAAGAAACUUUUGAGAGUAGAGGUUCUGAAAGAAAGAGGGAACUCCCUUUUUGCUUAGCUUGACCAUAUAGGUCCACUUUCUGUAUUGUUGGAAGAAGCAGUGCGGGUCACUUUGGUAAGCAGUGAAGAAAGCAGAGAUAGAAUUUAGGAAUGCAGUCACGUGCCUUACAACAUUAGGGCUUCUAGACAGGCAGGUAGGAAUGUUGAAGCCGAGAGCUGCAAAGAUGGCAAUUCCAUCAAACAAAGGAAGGAGCGAUCGAGUUGUCCGAAUUAAAACCGAUCCACUAAGGCUCGAAAAAUGGGUCUCAAAGAAAGAAUAGGCCAUCCAACCCCUGUCCCCUUCGACUCAGAAAGAAACUGGGAAUCCAUGUGAAGCAUUGGAGGGCGGUCGAAACUUGAAUGAUACCUUACAACAUCCGGCUCACCCAAUGGAUCAAUCUCUUUUUUGCGUGCUCUCUCCCUUCUGUCAAACAAGGCGGACAUCGCUCCCUCAAUGGGUAGCUCAUCUCAUUGGCUAGCUAGCUCAUAUGGAAUAGGUCUCUGGCUUGCUCCUGUCCGCUCUUUGGUUAUCUAUCGGAAAGAGUCGUAAUCUUUCCUUUCUGUCCACAAAGAAAUGAUUUAUAUUGAUUCCCGCGAAUCUGGAAUCUCUGUAACUAUGGCAAACGGUCAAAGCGUUCUGAUAAUGAUAAGGGAAGAAGAUACGUAAGCCUCUUUUGUCUCGAAAAAAGCCUUUCUUAACUUAAAGGAUAUCUCUUUCUGGUUAUGAUUGAAUCGUCCGGAAUGGGGAAUCCGCUCCUCGCCUCUUCAGAAGCACUGAUUGAGUUCCCUACUAUAUCUGCUUCGUUCGUUCAUCCUUCCUUCCCGCCUGGACAUGCGUUGAAAUAGAAGCUUUCGUUGACUCCGUUCUUAAGUAGGUGGGCUUAAGCUGCUCAGAGCGGAUGGUGAGUUUCUUUCAGAACCUUCUCUCUCGAAAUCAGUGAUUGAAUAGAUAGGCUUGAUCCGAGAAGGAAAAGGAAUGCCUUUCCAUGGAUGGUGGGGAAUGAAAGAAGUGAAUUCAUUUCCAAGAGAACGAAUAUCGCAUAUCGCAACUGACCACUAAUAAUCGAAAUAGUGAUCUCUCCUUCUAUCACAUCUACCUUCCCCACCCAAUUUACCUUUCUAGGUGGGCCGAUGCAUUUCGUCGUUUCAUAGAGCUAUGAUUCGGCAGCGCGAUGACAGGGCAGAUUUCAUUGUCCAAUUUUUUUGGUAUUGUUCUCAAUAUCAAAAUUUAGAUUUGUUAUAGAAUGUCGUUUGGUUUUUAGAGCCCUACAUCCACUCUUUCUCUCUUUUGGAAGAGUGGAAAAUGCCUUUUUCUCUUGCAAAUUCUUGAAUAACUUCAAUUUUUCAACAUCCAUUGAGAUUCUGAAAGAAACUUCUUUUGGCAAGCGGACGGAAAACCGAUGCCGAAACUCGAGUCGCACGCUACCCGAUGACCAAUCCAUCGAUCGCCAUUCACAUGACGGAAGGUGUGAAGCGAUCUCGUACUAAACGAAACUACUUAAAAAAAAAUGAAACCGGAAAGUGUUAAGUUACAGGGGAGUUUACACGGAUGCAAGCAAAUAACUGAUAGUUGUCUGUGCCCAAGGUCAGAUUAUCGACAUCGGUAUUGUCAAAAUCGGGUAGCAAGAAGAUGCAUUGGCUGAUAACAUAUCCAUCGCGCUUUCCAGGUCCGUCCGGACUAGACCAUAGCAAGCUUAUCCACCACUAGCAGCACCGGUUACAUUUUCUCCAGUCGAACUAGAAGCUGCACUUGUUAUAGCAAAAGACAAAGAUGGGGUUGUGCUUCACUGUUUUUUCAAAAAAGAGCACGGUGGAACGAGCUGCAUCAGUAGCGCCCGGUUUUCCACUUGAUGUAAAGCCCCAACCGUGAGUAUAGUGAAUUGGGUAACAACAUUCGAGAUUAGCUAAAGGCGAAAGGCCUCUCCUAUAUCUGCGGGAGCUACGCAUGCAUCCUCACUCAUCCUCCUUAGCGGCGGACAGAAGGCGUUCCACUCUCCAAUAGUUUCGCUAUAGCGACUACGUACCUUCGGACCCUUGCCUUUUUUCAGGUAGCUUUCUUACGCCUAUUCAGCUAGUGGGGCAUUGGUCAUAACCGAAAUUCGUCGAAGAAAGAAAAAAGAAAGAAGAGGAUUUGUUGUUAGCUCGCUCAUAGGUGAGGAAGAAAGGGAUCCUUAGACUCCACUACUAUUGAUACUAGAACUCCCCUUCAAAUUCAAACAAGAAAAGCUCUUUUCUUUAACCGAAGCCUCUAUCAAAGCUUCUUGCAAGAAUAGCUGCUGUCGACCUUUGCCCAAGCAAGCGCUUUUCAGGUAAAGUGAUCGUCCGGUUCUAGCGAUUAGUUUGAUUCCCUUACCGGGCUUCUAGAGGUUAUCGAGUCUUCUUACCUGACAGUACAGUCUGUCUCCCUCCCUACUGGGGUACGUCUUGAUCAAAGAACUCACCUUCAACCAGGUAUGAAGUGACUGGUUCGAUAGGACCAGGCGCACCCCAAUUGAAAGGAAAGCUUAUAUUAUAUAAGGUAUGGGGAAUCCUAUGCUUUCAUAUUUUUGAUUGGCCCGCGAAAAGAGAUAUAGAACUCUCGAGGUGCUCUUUGGUUCAGCUACUUUAGUCGACUGAAGUGAUGGGAUCAGCAGGCUAGCAAGUUAGAUUCCCCUUUCUAUUGGCUAUGGGUUUAAGGCAUUUUCCGCCCAAUAGUUUCGCUAUAGCGACUACGUACCUCGGAUCCACCCCUCUAGUUGCAUUCCUUGCCCCGCCUUCCUUUAGGGAUUCAUUCCCCCUAGUGAAGACACUCUGGUUUGAAAGGGGCCGCUCUCUAGCUCUAGCUAUGAUCUGAUUUGCUAUGUCCUCAUUUCAUCGGUGGAGAAUCUUCUUUCUAUUCCACUCGUCGAUUUAUCUAUUUAUGAUUGAGCUAACUGACUGAAACCUUUCCACUGCGGUCGGGUGGGAUCUAGAUGGCUGGUGGAUCAACGGCUCGCCGUUCAACCAGGGAUAUAUCCUGUUUCAGUUCCCGUUCUAAUGAAGUAAGAGAUCCCCUUAAGGACUAUCUAUUUGGCCGCUGACCUCCAGUCGAAGGAGGCAGUGUAGCCCGCUAACGGUGAUUCCUGUGGGAAGCGCAUUUGCCUUUCAGUGCCCUCGAAAUGCCCCACUCUAAUUUUAUGAAAGAUCUUGUCCUCCUCCUACCUCCGUUUGUUUACUGCAACGGCUACAGAUGCAUUCUGACCUUAGUCCGAAGCACGUAAUGAAAAUGACCCACACAGUUGACUUUACGAAUUACGAAGCGGAGAUCCAGCCUUCCAUUCCCGAAGGCAUCUCAAGGUACGUAGUCGCUAUAGCGAAGUUAUUGGAAAGAAAGCUUCACCUUAUUAAAGAGCUCUUGCCUCCAAUUCAAAACAGAAUAGAACGCUCCUUCUGCAACGCAAGGCCGAUAGUUGAAUAGCUAUAGCUGGUGCUUUGAUUUGAUGUAUGAGGACUACUGAUUUCUGCUCGUAGUUCCUCUCUCCUUAGUCUACUCAUGGUACUCGGUAAUACGCUCGUGAUAGAGUACUCGUGCAACAGCGCUUACGGCUGCUCGUAGCUAUUGUAUGCAUGGGGGUAAUGAGAUAUUGAUUGCACGGUAGUUAGGAGCGAAGACUUUCUCUCGCGGUAGUGCGCUUACGACGUGCUCGCACCGGUCGACUACAAGGCCCUAUACCAAGGUAUAGUACAGGUGGUGGUCUCUCACUGGGGCGAAGUAAACUAGUUGGGUCCUGACUCUCUGUCUCUGCAUCCUGCCCGCUCUUUUUCUCUGACACAAUACCAGUCUAUUCCGGAUCUUCGGAAGCCUGCCAAAAGUACUAAAGAUGGAGGAGCGCUCCAGCGAGCGUCAUAUCGCUUCCAAAGAUUUCGAACGAUUCGUACAAAAGGGUACUCCUUUUUCCAAUGACACGGAGCGGAGGAAGUGUAUUAAGGUUGACGAUUCGCUUUGUGCGGGCUUGCAUCCGAUGCCUUCCAGACAACUGCCUUGUCUAAGUAACCACGGAGAAGAGAGGAGAUCAAAGAAUGCCUACCCCCCUCACUCAAAAAUGCGGGUACAACAAUAAGAACAAGGCGUAAAGCCCUUAAUUAGCACGUAAGAAAGAGCUUCACGCAAUUGCUCAUCUCCUAAACGGGAAGCAACCAAAACCUUGUCGAGGCAAGAUGAGAUAUGGGUCUCUACCUGAGAAAAGAUAGAACAAAUUGUCCGCUCAUCGGUCUUGCGGGGAAAUCAAUCAACAAUUGUUCGCUCAAAAGGCGGAGCCGCCAUCAUGGCUUUUGAAGUACUAAGAGGAAAGUUUCCACGGUGUUGGUC